UGCAAGUCGAACGGCAGCGCGGGGCAACCUGGCGGCGAGUGGCGAACGGGUGAGUAAUAUAUCGGAACAUACCCUAGAGUGGGGGAUAACGUAGCGAAAGUUACGCUAAUACCGCAUACGCACUAAGGUGGAAAGUGGGGGAUCGCAAGACCUCAUGCUCAUGGAGUGGCCGAUAUCUGAUUAGCUAGUUGGUGAGGUAAAGGCUCACCAAGGCGACGAUCAGUAGCUGGUCUGAGAGGACGACCAGCCACACUGGAACUGAGACACGGUCCAGACUCCUACGGGAGGCAGCAGUGGGGAAUUUUGGACAAUGGGGGCAACCCUGAUCCAGCAAUGCCGCGUGAGUGAAGAAGGCCUUCGGGUUGUAAAGCUCUUUUGUCAGGGAAGAAACGGUGGUCUCUAAUAUAGACUGCUAAUGACGGUACCUGAAGAAUAAGCACCGGCUAACUACGUGCCAGCAGCCGCGGUAAUACGUAGGGUGCAAGCGUUAAUCGGAAUUACUGGGCGUAAAGCGUGCGCAGGCGGUUUUGUAAGACGGAUGUGAAAUCCCCGGGCUUAACCUGGGAACUGCAUUCGUGACUGCAAGGCUAGAGUAUGGCAGAGGGGGGUAGAAUUCCACGUGUAGCAGUGAAAUGCGUAGAGAUGUGGAGGAAUACCGAUGGCGAAGGCAGCCCCCUGGGCCAAUACUGACGCUCAUGCACGAAAGCGUGGGGAGCAAACUAGGAUUAGAUACCCUGGUAGUCCUCGCCCUAAACGAUGUCAACUAGUUGUUGGGGAUUCAUUUCCUUAGUAACGAAGCUAACGCGUGAAGU
Molecule: ribosomal RNA, 812 nt
Filed under: uncultured bacterium
Lineage: Bacteria
Description: bacterial SSU rRNA
Rfam family: Bacterial small subunit ribosomal RNA
Source: RNAcentral